GACGAACGCUGGCGGCGUGCUUAACACAUGCAAGUCGAACGAUGAAGCCGGAGCUUGCUCUGGUGAAUUAGUGGCGAACGGGUGAGUAACACGUGAGUAACCUGCCCUUGACUCUGGGAUAACUGCUAGAAAUGGUAGCUAAUACCGGAUACGACCCUCGGCGGCAUCGCCAGGGGGUGGAAAGAAUUUCGGUCAAGGAUGGACUCGCGGCCUAUCAGCUAGUUGGUGAGGUAACGGCUCACCAAGGCGACGACGGGUAGCCGGCCUGAGAGGGUGACCGGCCACACUGGGACUGAGACACGGCCCAGACUCCUACGGGAGGCAGCAGUGGGGAAUAUUGCACAAUGGGCGCAAGCCUGAUGCAGCAACGCCGCGUGAGGGAUGACGGCCUUCGGGUUGUAAACCUCUUUUAGUAGGGAAGAAGCGAAAGUGACGGUACCUGCAGAAAAAGCACCGGCUAACUACGUGCCAGCCGCCGCCGUAA
RNAcentral lists this ribosomal RNA (484 nucleotides) under uncultured bacterium. Its description in RNAcentral is "partial 16S ribosomal RNA". It matches the Rfam family "Bacterial small subunit ribosomal RNA", at positions 28 to 523 of the family's 1533-position model. The record is from RNAcentral.